UGGUGUUAUCUGCACUGUUAACAUGUGUUAUUGCAUGGUCACUUUAAAUAUGAAAAAUGAUGUUUUAUUUUGAAAUCCGAACUUGUUUAAGAUAUUUCGGCUUUUUACAGCAACAUUGACGCAUCAACGAACUGAAAUAGAACCCCUGCGUAAAGCUUGCACUGCGAUGUGGAGAGACAUUCUGUUUUUUUGUAUCAACGCAGACGGACCAGUGGAAAUCCUUCUUAAAAGGAUCAAAUUCCAAAGGAUCAAGAGUCAAGGAAAACCACAAACUGUCAGAAAAGUCCAUCCAAUGACAGCUGAGGAGUUCCACACCAAAGAGGUGGAUCAGCUGUCAAGUACAACAAAUGUACAGAAGAAAGGCCAACAGAAACAAGCCCAGAAGCACAUUGUGCUGUGACUGCUUCUUCUGUGUUACUGUAAAGGUUUUUGGAGGCUCAGGAAACAAAAAACAAAACCGGCGUUAUAUUUUUAUAUAUCAAACUUCUGCGAGUGUGUGUGUGCAUGUACCUGUCAUGAGGCGGGACACAAAGGUUUCAGUGAGCUGCAGAAAACCGUGAUCAAUGUACUGCAGGAAGGUGUUGUGAGGGAGGCAGCGGAUCGCAAACACAGCAAACAGGGUGUGAUAGCCUGGAGAGACACAGAGAAAAGAAAAAGAGCAGCAAAUGUUGUUUGUUUGUCUGGAAAGAGUAAAAAAAAA
Molecule: long non-coding RNA, 700 nt
Organism: Oryzias melastigma (Indian medaka)
Lineage: Eukaryota; Metazoa; Chordata; Actinopteri; Beloniformes; Adrianichthyidae
Exons: 2
Source: RefSeq, a predicted model, not a curated record